UACGGGGGGGGUAAGCGUUGUUCGGAAUUACUGGGCGUAAAGGGCUCGUAGGCGGCCAACUAAGUCGGACGUGAAAUCCCUCAGCUUAACUGGGGAACUGCGUCCGAUACUGGAUGGCUUGGAUUUGGGAGAGGGAUGCAGAAUUCCAGGUGUAGCGGUGAAAUGCGUAGAUAUCUGGAGGAAUACCGGUGGCGAAGGCGGCAUCCUGGACCGACAUUGACGCUGAUGAGCGAAAGCUAGGGGAGCAAACGGG
This 253-nucleotide ribosomal RNA is filed under the name uncultured bacterium. RNAcentral describes it as "partial 16S ribosomal RNA". It matches the Rfam family "Bacterial small subunit ribosomal RNA", at positions 524 to 776 of the family's 1533-position model. The record is from RNAcentral.